This is a long non-coding RNA of Papaver somniferum (opium poppy), 661 nucleotides long. RefSeq lists it as uncharacterized. Lineage: Eukaryota; Viridiplantae; Streptophyta; Magnoliopsida; Ranunculales; Papaveraceae. The transcript has 4 exons. The record is from RefSeq and is a predicted model, not a curated record.
CGGACUUGAAUUCACACACCAGGUAUAAGAAAGUAGAUAAUCAGAGUUUUUUUACCCGAAGUUUGAAGACACGUUUUCUGGAUCAUCACUUUCAUGUUUCUUUCUGCGGAAAAUAUUCUCAAUCUCAGCUAUCGAUUCACUAAUGGCGUAACUACUACAGCACAUCAUCCAUCCCGGAAAGUUUAGGUUAAGUGUGAUUAUGGACUUAAGAGUGUUCGAAAAAAUGCUUGAAAAGUAGUUUUAGCUGGUGUAAAACAGGAAUGCCAGCAGCAGAAAAGCAAUAAGUUGGGCUAAAAGUUUGCUAUCUAUAUUUAGGUCGGCCGUGUCGUAGCUUAUUAAGGAAAAUUGGUAAAUUUUGGCUACAACAUCCAAGCCAAACUUCCGGUCAAUGAAAAAUAAGAUUUUUAUCGGCCGGGGAUAUACUGGGAGACAAGCCAGCAUCCAGCUCAGGUACGUGUCGGCUUCGAUACGGUAAAUGUCAAUAGAAUUUCACUUUAUUUGAUUAGUUUUGGGAUGUAUUAAGUUAGGGUCGGCUUGAUUUGUAUAUUAAGUGGAAGGUUUAUGAAUUAAACCAUUCACCAAGUCUUUCGUAUAACCGACUUUUGUUGGAGAAGAAUGAGAAGUCAAGAAAUAAUUUAAUGGUCAAGACCGAUUUUAUUUG